UAGUAUUACAACUGUUUUAGAAUUUGUCUAGGAGGCUUUCUGUUUUUUGCCAGAAGCCCCC
Small nuclear RNA from Callithrix jacchus (white-tufted-ear marmoset), 61 nucleotides. Its record names the gene U7. It matches the Rfam family "U7 small nuclear RNA". From Rfam's summary of the family: Animal histone pre-mRNAs are spliced by a different mechanism than nuclear pre-mRNAs and self-splicing introns. This processing involves the U7 snRNP, which contains only one RNA species: U7. NCBI's taxonomy places the organism in Eukaryota, Metazoa, Chordata, Mammalia, Primates, Cebidae. The record is from Ensembl.